GAUGAACGCUGGCGGCGUGCCUAAUACAUGCAAGUCGAGCGAACGGACGAGAAGCUUGCUUCUCUGAUGUUAGCGGCGGACGGGUGAGUAACACGUGGAUAACCUACCUAUAAGACUGGGAUAACUUCGGGAAACCGGAGCUAAUACCGGAUAAUAUUUUGAACCGCAUGGUUCAAAAGUGAAAGACGGUCUUGCUGUCACUUAUAGAUGGAUCCGCGCAGCAUUAGCUAGUUGGUAAGGUAACGGCUUACCAAGGCAACGAUGCAUAGCCGACCUGAGAGGGUGAUCGGCCACACUGGAACUGAGACACGGUCCAGACUCCUAUGGGAGGCAGCAGUAGGGAAUCUUCCGCAAUGGGCGAAAGCCUGACGGAGCAACGCCGCGUGAGUGAUGAAGGUCUUCGGAUCGUAAAACUCUGUUAUUAGGGAAGAACAUAUGUGUAAGUAACUGUGCACAUCUUGACGGUACCUAAUCAGAAAGCCACGGCUAACUACGUGCCAGCAGCCGCGGUAAUACGUAGGUGGCAAGCGUUAUCCGGAAUUAUUGGGCGUAAAGCGCGCGUAGGCGGUUUUUUAAGUCUGAUGUGAAAGCCCACGGCUCAACCGUGGAGGGUCAUUGGAAACUGGAAAACUUGAGUGCAGAAGAGGAAAGUGGAAUUCCAUGUGUAGCGGUGAAAUGCGCAGAGAUAUGGAGGAACACCAGUGGCGAAGGCGACUUUCUGGUCUGUAACUGACGCUGAUGUGCGAAAGCGUGGGGAUCAAACAGGAUUAGAUACCCUGGUAGUCCACGCCGUAAACGAUGAGUGCUAAGUGUUAGGGGGUUUCCGCCCCUUAGUGCUGCAGCUAACGCAUUAAGCACUCCGCCUGGGGAGUACGACCGCAAGGUUGAAACUCAAAGGAAUUGACGGGGACCCGCACAAGCGGUGGAGCAUGUGGUUUAAUUCGAAGCAACGCGAAGAACCUUACCAAAUCUUGACAUCCUUUGACAACUCUAGAGAUAGAGCCUUCCCCUUCGGGGGGGCAAAGUGACAGGUGGUGCAUGGUUGUCGUCAGCUCGUGUCGUGAGAUGUUGGGUUAAGUCCCGCAACGAGCGCAACCCUUAAGCUUAGUUGCCAUCAUUAAGUUGGGCACUCUAAGUUGACUGCCGGUGACAAACCGGAGGAAGGUGGGGAUGACGUCAAAUCAUCAUGCCCCUUAUGAUUUGGGCUACACACGUGCUACAAUGGACAAUACAAAGGGCAGCGAAACCGCGAGGUCAAGCAAAUCCCAUAAAGUUGUUCUCAGUUCGGAUUGUAGUCUGCAACUCGACUACAUGAAGCUGGAAUCGCUAGUAAUCGUAGAUCAGCAUGCUACGGUGAAUACGUUCCCGGGUCU
Molecule: ribosomal RNA, 1373 nt
Filed under: uncultured bacterium
Lineage: Bacteria
Description: bacterial SSU rRNA
Rfam family: Bacterial small subunit ribosomal RNA
Source: RNAcentral